GCACACACCGUGCUGAAGAUUGUGUCGCUGGCGUUUGCGAUGCCUCUCAUCCAUGUCUUUCGUCAGAGCAGCUUCAAAAGGACUGUGCGAGAAGUGAAGCCGUGGGAAUACAACAGCCAGAAGGCUGCGUGCGCUGGCGUCUUCAAUGCCUGUCAUCUAUCGCUUCCGUCGGAGAAGCUCCCCAAGAAGUGAACAGGAUUAGACAACGAGACUGGACUGGUAGACUUCAACAUGAAUUCACUUAAUAUAAUGAAGAAUUUCAUGUGUAUGUAGAAAAAUAAAAGAUUUCUAUGUCGCA
Long non-coding RNA from Rhipicephalus microplus (southern cattle tick), 298 nucleotides. RefSeq lists it as uncharacterized. NCBI's taxonomy places the organism in Eukaryota, Metazoa, Arthropoda, Arachnida, Ixodida, Ixodidae. The record is from RefSeq and is a predicted model, not a curated record.